CUUAAAUUAGCACUACUUGUUACGAUAUGAUUUUAUACCUAGAAGAGCCAAAAAGCUCCACCAGAAAACUUCUAGAACUAGUAAAUUAAUUCAGCAAAGUAGCAGGAUAUAAAAUCAACACCCAUAAAUCAAAAGCAUUUCUGUAUAUCAGUGACAAAUCCUCUGAGAAGGAAAUGAGGAAAACUACCCCAUUUACAAUAGCCUCAAAAAAAAAAAAAAACAAAAACUUGGGAAUCAACUUAAUGAAAGAGAUGAAAGAUCUAUACAAUGAAAACUACAGGACCCUAAAGAAAGGAAAUCAAAGAAGACCUUAUAAGAUUGAAAAGAUCUACCUUGCUCUUGAAUAGGCAGAAUUAAUAUUUUCAAAAUGACCAUAUUACCAAAAGCACUCUACAGAUUUAAUGCAAUUCUGAUCAAAAUCCCGAUAGCAUUUGCCGCAGUCUGGCUGGGCACAAUUCAGGAGCCACUUGUCAAAAGAAACGAACUUUAUUUUUAGAACACACACACCGCACCACACAGCUCUUCAGGAAAAACCCUCAGAGCCCAACUGCCACCACCGGCUUCCCACAAGCCUCUCAACCUCCCCUACUCCUCCUGCUCUUGAGGCUGAUUGGCUGGGUCGUGUGGGCAGAGCCAAAAAAAGUCCCCCAAUGAGCAGCUCCGUAGUCUGAAAGGGCUGGGAAACAGCCCAAUGAGCAUCACCGCAGAGGAGCCAAUCAGUUGGCAGCUAGAAGUUUGCUGGGGCCGCUGUGAGCCAAUCAUCAGCUGGCAGCUGGAAGUUUGCUGGGGCCCCUUCAGCUGUGGCUCUCAACAUCUCCCCCAGCAGCAUUCCUCAUGAAAUUCAUCUGGAAAAAUAAGAGACUCA
RNAcentral lists this long non-coding RNA (865 nucleotides) under Marmota monax (woodchuck). Lineage: Eukaryota; Metazoa; Chordata; Mammalia; Rodentia; Sciuridae. The record is from RNAcentral.